This 225-nucleotide long non-coding RNA is filed under the name Solanum tuberosum (potato). Its description in RNAcentral is "long non-coding RNA (STUB_LNC003442)". Lineage: Eukaryota; Viridiplantae; Streptophyta; Magnoliopsida; Solanales; Solanaceae. The record is from RNAcentral.
UAGAAGUUAGAAGUUAGAUUAGUUGCAUUUUCCAACUUUGAAAUUCUUGAAUUUUGUAUGUUUGACGGUUGAAGUUAGAAAAACAUUGAAUUGUAUAUGAAAGUUAGAUUACUUUGAAGUUAGAAAAAUAUUAGUAUAUGAAAGUCGAAAUUAGAUUAGUUGAAUUUUCAACUUAGAAGUUCUUGAUUUUUUUUUUUUUGAAAGUUGAAGUUAGAAAAAUAUUAG